Non-coding RNA from Zootermopsis nevadensis, 73 nucleotides. Lineage: Eukaryota; Metazoa; Arthropoda; Insecta; Blattodea; Termopsidae. The record is from Rfam.
GCCACGGUGGUCUAGCGGAUAGAACGCUGGCCUUGUAAUCCUGGGGUCUCGGGUUCGAUUCCCGGCGGUGCCC